GGUGGGAUAGCUCAGUUGGUAGAGCAAAGGACUGAAAAUCCUUGUGUCGCCGGUUCGAUCCCGGCUCCUACCACAA
This 76-nucleotide transfer RNA is filed under the name Chitinophaga caeni. RNAcentral's name for it is "tRNA-Phe". It matches the Rfam family "tRNA". Rfam says of the family: Transfer RNA (tRNA) molecules are approximately 80 nucleotides in length. Their secondary structure includes four short double-helical elements and three loops (D, anti-codon, and T loops). Further hydrogen bonds mediate the characteristic L-shaped molecular structure. tRNAs have two regions of fundamental functional importance: the anti-codon, which is responsible for specific mRNA codon recognition, and the 3' end, to which the tRNAs corresponding amino acid is attached (by aminoacyl-tRNA synthetases). tRNAs cope with the degeneracy of the genetic code in two manners: having more than one tRNA (with a specific anti-codon) for a particular amino acid; and 'wobble' base-pairing, i.e. permitting non-standard base-pairing at the 3rd anti-codon position. The record is from RNAcentral. Lineage: Bacteria; Pseudomonadati; Bacteroidota; Chitinophagia; Chitinophagales; Chitinophagaceae.